CCUACGGGAGGCAGCAGUGGGGAAUAUUGGACAAUGGGGGGAACCCUGAUCCAGCGACGCCGCGUGAGUGAAGAAGUAUUUCGGUAUGUAAAGCUCUAUCAGCAGGGAAGAAAGAAAUGACGGUACCUGACUAAGAAGCCCCGGCUAACUACGUGCCAGCAGCCGCGGUAAGACGUAGGGGGCAAGCGUUAUCCGGAUUUACUGGGUGUAAAGGGAGCGUAGACGGCGAUGCAAGUCUGAAGUGAAAGGCGGGGGCCCAACCCCUGGACUGCUUUGGAAACUGUAUGGCUGGAGUGCAGGAGAGGUAAGUGGAAUUCCUAGUGUAGCGGUGAAAUGCGUAGAUAUUAGGAGGAACACCAGUGGCGAAGGCGGCUUACUGGACUGUAACUGACGUUGAGGCUCGAAAGCGUGGGGAGCAAACAGGAUUAGAUACCCGGGUAGUC
Molecule: ribosomal RNA, 443 nt
Filed under: uncultured bacterium
Lineage: Bacteria
Description: partial 16S ribosomal RNA
Rfam family: Bacterial small subunit ribosomal RNA
Source: RNAcentral